RNAcentral lists this non-coding RNA (26 nucleotides) under Homo sapiens (human). Lineage: Eukaryota; Metazoa; Chordata; Mammalia; Primates; Hominidae. The record is from RNAcentral.
UCAAAUGUGCAUGUGUGUGGCCCUCA